AUGUUUGUAGUGUUUGGGGAAGGUGUGAUUUGAGAUGUUUCAUCCAGAGCUUUUCACUGUUAGAAAGUGAGCUGAUGUUUUGUGUUAGCUGCAUGAUGUCAGAUUCACAGGUUGCAGAAAUAUUUUCAUGCCUUCUGGACCUCAUGCAGGGAGCUCAGGUUGCAUGAUAUUAAGUGCAGUUUUGACUCUGCAGAACUUUGUGAAACGUACGGUAGUUAUAUAAUCAACUACAUGAUUUACAAAACCCCCCACAACAUUAUUGGUAAAUUUUAAGAAGCUUAAAUAGUUUUUCAGCAUUUUUUACCCACUUGUCGACAGUUGUGGGGUCAACUAGAUUUCUGACCCAAACUGAGAUUAAAUGUGCACAUCAUGCUGGUUAUAUAACUCAAUACCCUGGAAUCCCAGCCCUAAUAAUUCUUCUCUUUAUUUUGCUGUUUAUUUCCCUUAUUCUGCCCAAGUGAGCACAUUAUAUCUGACAUUUUUGUUUUUGGAAGGAGGCAGUAGGCAUGUGUAUUUGGGAAGCGACCCACUGAGAGUAAUGAAUUUGGACACUGGAGUGUAUGUGUUGCAGAAGUGGGCGUGUGUCGCAGGCGAGCCUGAAGAUCUGGUUGGGUAAGAGCUGGGCUGUAUAAAAAGGCGGAGCGCAGCGCAGAAGCUCUUUCUCUGGUUCAGGUUCUUCUCUGUUUGGCAUCUGUUAGGAGUUUCUUCUGUCAUUUUUUCCCUGUUUGUGGAAGCAGAAGAUCCCACUGUUGUGACUGGAGUGAUUCUUUCUUCCUUUUUGCAGACGGUGAGAAGACCAUCUGUUUUCAUAAUCAGCUCUUGACUUGAGGAGUACCAAAACAAAACUUGGAAUAACAAUUUUUUUCUAUUAAGGGUGUAACUCCACAGGUCCUGAACCACCCCGGGGGUUCACUGAUCCAUCAUUUCAGGAAACAUGAUCAUCAGACUGGGCAGGCUCACACCUGGAUACUUCCGCCUUCUCCAGAGGCAGGUCGCUGGUGAGGUCCAAACGCAGCCGCAUGACCGCACCGUCAACCAGAUCGCCAUGAUGCUGGCCAUCAUGGGUCUGAGUCUGUCCUACUACAGUGCCAAACAGAUGACAGAGAAGGUCCAAGUCCAGCCUGCAGCCUGAAGAGGCUCGGUCGCUCCAGAAUCUGGAGAUGACAGAUGAACCAAUGAGAACCGGAGGAAGAAACGGAAGUAAAGGGAGGAAGAAAGGCACAGUGGUGUGUCUCGGGACAGCACUUUUCUUACCUUAGUCGUCGAUCACACCCUUCCACUGACUUCCUGGGAUCCUUCACACAUCACCAGCAGAACAUUCAGGGUCAAAUAAAAAAUAAUUCCCAUUUUCUGGUGCCAGGACCUUCAACAAUUUGGGAGAUUUACUUAUCUGGGGUCAUGGGGAGAACUGGUUUUAGUCUGUGGAAACCAGCUCACUGCCAAACGAGUCUGAGCAUUAGUCAUUACAAAGGUGCGUGCUUGCAGGAUGCCAUCAGUGCUAUAAAAAGGAGAAAAACUUUCACUGUGAAGCAAAUUUUGUCCAAAAAGUGUUAUAUUUUCUGAAUUCUCCUUUUUAAGGGAUGGCUGACUGAGCUGUGCCUCCUGAUGAAGUGAUGGCAGACCCAGAACAAGACUAAAAGGGGAUGAUACGUUACCUUUAAUCCUUUUGACUUUUUUGUUUUUUGUUCCUCUUCCAGAAUUUUAUAGAGCCUCAGAACAGAUCAGAAUCUGUGAUGUCGGGCUAUAUGCCAGCUGUGUCUGUCAGUAAAUAUUUGCACAAAACUAUCGAAACCUUUUGAAAUGCUAAAGUGGAAUCUGCAAAGGGACUCCAAAAUACUCAAUGUUUAAUGUGUGUUUUCAUUGUUUUAACAAUUCACAAGUCCUCUGUGUGUGACUGUUGAGAGCCUUUCUUGCAGGAUCUACAAAUGCUAGUGCAAUUGUGAAAUGUUAGUGAAAUGCAUGUACAUGUAGAAAUGUAAUCAUUGCAAUCUUCACGAGUCUUGUUUUUUUUUUAUUGAUGAAUGAAUGUUUCACUUUAUUUUUGCAAUGAUUUAAUAAAGCUGUGAAUAUUUUAAGAGA
Long non-coding RNA from Xiphophorus maculatus (southern platyfish), 2079 nucleotides. RefSeq lists it as uncharacterized. The transcript is spliced from 3 exons. The record is from RefSeq and is a predicted model, not a curated record. NCBI's taxonomy places the organism in Eukaryota, Metazoa, Chordata, Actinopteri, Cyprinodontiformes, Poeciliidae.